GACGAACGCUGGCGGCGUGCUUAACACAUGCAAGUCGAGCGGUAAGGCCCUUUCGGGGGUACACGAGCGGCGAACGGGUGAGUAACACGUGGGUGACCUGCCCUCAGCUCUGGGAUAAGCCUGGGAAACCGGGUCUAAUACUGGAUAUGACUCCAUGACGCAUGUUGUGGGGUGGAAAGCCUUGUGCGGCUGAGGAUGGGCCCGCGGCCUAU
RNAcentral lists this ribosomal RNA (212 nucleotides) under uncultured bacterium. RNAcentral's name for it is "partial 16S ribosomal RNA". It matches the Rfam family "Bacterial small subunit ribosomal RNA", at positions 28 to 241 of the family's 1533-position model. The record is from RNAcentral.